GAUGAACGCUAGCGAUAGGCUUAACACAUGCAAGUCGAGGGGCAGCACAAGGUAGCUUGCUAUCUGGGUGGCGACCGGCGCACGGGUGCGUAACGCGUAUGCAACUUGCCCUAUACAGGAGGAUAACCCGUCGAAAGACGGACUAAUACUGCGUAUGCUCACAACUUGGCAUCAAGUGGUGAGGAAAGAAAUUCGGUAUAGGAUAGGCAUGCGUCCCAUUAGCUUGUUGGUGAGGUAACGGCUCACCAAGGCAAUGAUGGGUAGGGGAACUGAGAGGUUUAUCCCCCACACUGGUACUGAGACACGGACCAGACUCCUACGGGAGGCAGCAGUGAGGAAUAUUGGUCAAUGGGCGCGAGCCUGAGCCAGCCAAGUCGCGUGAAGGAUGACUGUCUUAUGGAUUGUAAACUUCUUUUAUACGGGAAUAACAAGAGUCACGUGUGACUCCCUGCAUGUACCGUAUGAAUAAGCAUCGGCUAACUCCGUG
RNAcentral lists this ribosomal RNA (487 nucleotides) under uncultured bacterium. RNAcentral's name for it is "partial 16S ribosomal RNA". It matches the Rfam family "Bacterial small subunit ribosomal RNA", at positions 28 to 507 of the family's 1533-position model. The record is from RNAcentral.